GACGAACGCUGGCGGCGUGCUUAACACAUGCAAGUCGAACGGUGAAGGGACCGGUUUUUGCUGGUUCUGGAUGAGUGGCGAACGGGUGAGUAACACGUGAGUAACCUGCCCCCUCCUUCUGGAUAACCGCAUGAAAGUGUGGCUAAUACGGGAUAUUCUGCGCCUGCUGCAUGGUGGGUGUGGGAAAGAUAUUGUUUCGGUGGGGGAUGGGCUCGCGGCCUAUCAGCUUGUUGGUGGGGUGAUGGCCUACCAAGGCGGUGACGGGUAGCCGGCCUGAGAGGGUGGACGGUCACACUGGGACUGAGACACGGCCCAGACUCCUACGGGAGGCAGCAGUGGGGAAUAUUGCACAAUGGGCGCAAGCCUGAUGCAGCGACGCCGCGUGAGGGAUGGAGGCCUUCGGGUUGUAAACCUCUUUCGCCAGUGAAGCAGGCCUGUCCCUUUUGUGGGUGGGUUGACGGUAGCUGGAUAAGAAGCGCCGGCUAACUACGUG
RNAcentral lists this ribosomal RNA (493 nucleotides) under uncultured bacterium. RNAcentral's name for it is "partial 16S ribosomal RNA". It matches the Rfam family "Bacterial small subunit ribosomal RNA", at positions 28 to 507 of the family's 1533-position model. The record is from RNAcentral.